Molecule: ribosomal RNA, 551 nt
Filed under: uncultured bacterium
Lineage: Bacteria
Description: bacterial SSU rRNA
Rfam family: Bacterial small subunit ribosomal RNA
Source: RNAcentral
UAGGGAAUCUUCGCGCAAUGGACGGAAGUCUGACCGAGCAACGCCGCGUGAGUGAAGAAGGUUUUCGGAUCGUAAAGCUCUGUUGUAAGAGAAGAACGAGUGUGAGAGUGGAAAGUUCACACUGUGACGGUAUCUUACCAGAAAGGGACGGCUAACUACGUGCCAGCAGCCGCGGUAAUACGUAGGUCCCGAGCGUUGUCCGGAUUUAUUGGGCGUAAAGCGAGCGCAGGCGGUUAGAUAAGUCUGAAGUUAAAGGCUGUGGCUUAACCAUAGUACGCUUUGGAAACUGUUUAACUUGAGUGCAAGGGGGGAGAGUGGAAUUCCAUGUGUAGCGGUGAAAUGCGUAGAUAUAUGGAGGAACACCGGUGGCGAAAGCGGCUCUCUGGCUUGUAACUGACGCUGAGGCUCGAAAGCGUGGGGAGCAAACAGGAUUAGAUACCCUGGUAGUCCACGCCGUAAACGAUGAGUGCUAGGUGUUAGACCCUUUCCGGGGUUUAGUGCCGCAGCUAACGCAUUAAGCACUCCGCCUGGGGAGUACGACCGCAAGGUUG